GAAGGGGGCUAGCGUUGCUCGGAAUGACUGGGCGUAAAGGGCGCGUAGGCGGUUGUUACAGUCAGAUGUGAAAUCCCCGGGCUUAACCUGGGAACUGCAUUUGAUACGUGACGACUAGAGUUCGAGAGAGGGUUGUGGAAUUCCCAGUGUAGAGGUGAAAUUCGUAGAUAUUGGGAAGAACACCGGUGGCGAAGGCGGCAACCUGGCUCGAUACUGACGCUGAGGCGCGAAAGCGUGGGGAGCAAACAGGAUUAGAUACCCUGGUAGUCCACGCUGUAAACGAUGUGUGCUGGAUGUUGGGAAACUUAGUUUUUCAGUGUCGAAGCUAACGCGCUAAGCACACCGCCUGGGGAGUACGGCCGCAAGGUUG
RNAcentral lists this ribosomal RNA (370 nucleotides) under uncultured bacterium. RNAcentral's name for it is "bacterial SSU rRNA". It matches the Rfam family "Bacterial small subunit ribosomal RNA", at positions 527 to 896 of the family's 1533-position model. The record is from RNAcentral.